AGAACGAACGCUGGCGGCAUGCCUAAUACAUGCAAGUCGAACGAACUCUUCGGCCUUAGUGGCGCACGGGUGCGUAACGCGUGGGAAUCUGCCCCUUGGUUCGGAAUAACAGUUGGAAACGACUGCUAAUACCGGAUGAUGACGAAAGUCCAAAGAUUUAUCGCCAAGGGAUGAGCCCGCGUAGGAUUAGCUAGUUGGUGAGGUAAAGGCUCACCAAGGCGACGAUCCUUAGCUGGUCUGAGAGGAUGAUCAGCCACACUGGGACUGAGACACGGCCCAGACUCCUACGGGAGGCAGCAGUAGGGAAUAUUGGACAAUGGGCGAAAGCCUGAUCCAGCAAUGCCGCGUGAGUGAUGAAGGCCUUAAGGGUGUAAAGCUCUUUUACCCGAGAUGAUAAUGACAGUAUCGGAGAAUAAGCCCCGGCUAAACUCCGUGCCAGCAAGCCGAC
RNAcentral lists this ribosomal RNA (448 nucleotides) under uncultured soil bacterium. RNAcentral's name for it is "bacterial SSU rRNA". It matches the Rfam family "Bacterial small subunit ribosomal RNA", at positions 26 to 522 of the family's 1533-position model. The record is from RNAcentral.